GUAGGUGGCAAGCGUUGUCCGGAAUUAUUGGGCGUAAAGCGCGCGCAGGGCGGUCCUUUAAGUCUGAUGUGAAAGCCCACGGCUCAACCGUGGAGGGUCAUUGGAAACUGGGGGACUUGAGUACAGAAGAGGAAAGCGGAAUUCCAAGUGUAGCGGUGAAAUGCGUAGAGAUUUGGAGGAACACCAGUGGCGAAGGCGGCUUUCUGGUCUGUAACUGACGCCGAGGCGCGAAAGCGUGGGGAGCAAACAGGAUUAGAUACCCUGGUAGUCCACGCCGUAAACGAUGAGUGCUAAGUGUUAGGGGGUUUCCGCCCCUUAGUGCUGCAGCUAACGCAUUAAGCACUCCGCCUGGGGAGUACGGCCGCAAAGGCUG
This 373-nucleotide ribosomal RNA is filed under the name uncultured organism. RNAcentral describes it as "partial 16S ribosomal RNA". It matches the Rfam family "Bacterial small subunit ribosomal RNA", at positions 527 to 896 of the family's 1533-position model. The record is from RNAcentral.